UACGUAGGGGGCAAGCGUUGUCCGGAAUUAUUGGGCGUAAAGAGCUCGUAGGCGGUCUGUUGCGUCCGCUGUGAAAACUCGGGGCUUAACCCCGAGCCUGCAGUGGAUACGGGCAGACUAGAGGUAGGUAGGGGAGAAUGGAAUUCCCGGUGUAGCGGUGAAAUGCGCAGAUAUCGGGAGGAACACCGGUGGCGAAGGCGGUUCUCUGGGCCUGUACUGACGCUGAGGAGCGAAAGCGUGGGGAGCGAACAGG
RNAcentral lists this ribosomal RNA (253 nucleotides) under uncultured bacterium. RNAcentral describes it as "partial 16S ribosomal RNA". It matches the Rfam family "Bacterial small subunit ribosomal RNA", at positions 524 to 776 of the family's 1533-position model. The record is from RNAcentral.